AACGAACGCUGGCGGCAUGCCUAACACAUGCAAGUCGAACGAGAAGCUAUCUUCGGGUAGUGGAAAGUGGCGCACGGGUGAGUAACGCGUGGGAACCUGCCCUGAGGUUCGGAAUAACGAUUGGAAACGGUCGCUAAUACCGGAUGAGCCCUGAGGGGGAAAGAUUUAUCGCCUUGGGAGGGGCCCGCGUCCGAUUAGCUUGUUGGUGUGGUAACGGCGCACCAAGGCUUCGAUCGGUAGCUGGUCUGAGAGGAUGAUCAGCCACACUGGGACUGAGACACGGCCCAGACUCCUACGGGAGGCAGCAGUGGGGAAUAUUGGACAAUGGGGGCAACCCUGAUCCAGCAAUGCCGCGUGUGUGAAGAAGGCCUUAGGGUUGUAAAGCACUUUCAGUCGUGACGAUGAUGACGGUAACGACAGAAGAAGCCCCGGCUAACUCCG
This 441-nucleotide ribosomal RNA is filed under the name uncultured Rhodospirillaceae bacterium. Its description in RNAcentral is "bacterial SSU rRNA". It matches the Rfam family "Bacterial small subunit ribosomal RNA", at positions 29 to 505 of the family's 1533-position model. The record is from RNAcentral. Lineage: Bacteria; Pseudomonadati; Pseudomonadota; Alphaproteobacteria; Rhodospirillales; Rhodospirillaceae.